Molecule: long non-coding RNA, 1133 nt
Organism: Diachasmimorpha longicaudata
Lineage: Eukaryota; Metazoa; Arthropoda; Insecta; Hymenoptera; Braconidae
Exons: 2
Source: RefSeq, a predicted model, not a curated record
CAUACGAAUUGUCACGAGCCUCCACUCAUUCCGAUCGGGGCCACCAAUCGCGGCACUACGUCGUGCCGCCAAGGUUUCGAACAAAGUCCGGUUUUUGUAACGAUAUUUUCAUUGUUGAGGAUUGAGGAAAAUAUUCACUCCAUUUAUGGACAAUCACGGCGGCUGGCUUGCUAUUAAUUAUGGGACGUGUUACUCGCUCCGUCUGCGUUACAAACAAUCCUCCCCUAUGAAAAAUAGUUCAUGGGCUCGUCUUACAGGGCUCAAGUGCCUUAUUAUCGAAAACACACUUCAAUCAUGACGUCACAACCCCGGAUAGGGCCCUAAUUCAUUCAUGUGCAGUUGAGGUUAGGUUCGGUUGAAUAAAUUUUAAAAUAAAAUUCCAAUCUCGAGGUGGACUACUGGCUCUAGAUUUUUUCGAGGGGCAAAUCGACUGUUACCAAAUUGGAAUUGCAGAUAUUAUUUAUUGAAUGCCAGUCUGUUAUUAGCCUGUACUUACGACAAUAAAUACAGGGCUCUAUCGAUGGGUCUUCCUUCCAGAUCCUUCUCCAAAGUAUGCUUUCUGAUUUGAUCUUCAGUCUAGAAAGAAACGAUUCAUUUUGACGCUACAAUAAUACAUUUCACCUACCAGGAAAGCUCAUCCUUUGCUUCCUAGAGUGAAAAGUCAAGAGUUCUCGCCCUUGGGACUCGAAACUUAGCUUUUGCAAGGGUGUUGACAAAUAAAUUCUGGAAAAAAUGAACGUGCAAAGAAGAUUCACACACCUUAAGGGCGUGCAGCAUCGGCCGAUCGAGCUGAAGGCUUGCAAACUCUUCAAAGUCCAUUUCCAUUUUGCUAGGGUUAUAUUGGAAAUAAUCCAGUGAGAUCGUUCAAGUUCACUCCAGAUGAUAACUUACAACUAAUUGAAAUUGGCAACAAUUCAUGUCGAUUGUUUUGUUGUCUCGAAUGAAAUCUCCUCUACAAAGUUUUUUAAUAGGGCCGGGCUGCACUGACCGGUAAUAAACCAUUGUUGAUUAGUACAUUAAUAAAUAAAGAAAUCCAUAAAAUACAGAAGGGAUUGAAAAAAAUGAGGGAGACUAAUUAUAAAUUCAUUUAUUUAUGUAAACGCUCAUGAUAAAAAUAAUAAUGAUAAAAAAUA